RNAcentral lists this ribosomal RNA (468 nucleotides) under uncultured bacterium. RNAcentral's name for it is "partial 16S ribosomal RNA". It matches the Rfam family "Bacterial small subunit ribosomal RNA", at positions 28 to 507 of the family's 1533-position model. The record is from RNAcentral.
GACGAACGCUGGCGGCGUGCUUAACACAUGCAAGUCGAACGGAAAGGCCCUGCUUUUGUGGGGUGCUCGAGUGGCGAACGGGUGAGUAACACGUGAGUAACCUGCCCUUGACUUUGGGAUAACUUCAGGAAACUGGGGCUAAUACCGGAUAGGAGCUCCUGCUGCAUGGUGGGGGUUGGAAAGUUUCGGUGGUUGGGGAUGGACUCGCGGCUUAUCAGCUUGUUGGUGGGGUAGUGGCUUACCAAGGCUUUGACGGGUAGCCGGCCUGAGAGGGUGACCGGCCACAUUGGGGCUGAGAUACGGCCCAGACUCCUACGGGAGGCAGCAGUGGGGAAUAUUGCACAAUGGGCGGAAGCCUGAUGCAGCAACGCCGCGUGCGGGAUGACGGCCUUCGGGUUGUAAACCGCUUUCGCCUGUGACGAAGCGUGAAUGACGGUAAUGGGUAAAGAAGCACCGGCUAACUACGUG